Molecule: non-coding RNA, 188 nt
Filed under: Clostridium sp. 19966
Lineage: Bacteria; Bacillati; Bacillota; Clostridia; Eubacteriales; Clostridiaceae
Description: 6S RNA
Rfam family: 6S / SsrS RNA
About the family: E. coli 6S RNA was the first non coding RNA to be sequenced, but its function was unknown until recently. It consists of 184 nucleotides that fold into an extended hairpin structure with a large single-stranded internal bulge.
Source: RNAcentral
UAAUUUCUGGAAUAUGCGUUAAGCUCUUAUUUUGAACCUACAUCACAAUUGCGGGAGUUCGAUAUUUUGAUGUGUAUAUGUACUGCUUAUGAGACCUUUUAGGCAUUGCUGAGAUAGAAGCGUCAGUGAGGGCACCCACCUAUCGACAGAUAGGGGUCAAAAUAGAGUACCGGUAUUUUGGAUUUUAA